This 96-nucleotide transfer RNA is filed under the name Wenjunlia tyrosinilytica. Its description in RNAcentral is "tRNA-Trp". Lineage: Bacteria; Bacillati; Actinomycetota; Actinomycetes; Kitasatosporales; Streptomycetaceae. The record is from RNAcentral.
CCGGCGCGGGCGCCGCGGGUGAUGUGCCCCCGCCGCUCCAGCCGGUCGAGGACGCCGGUCAGCGUGGUGGGGCGGGUGCCGACCGCCGCGCCGAGC